AAGUCGUAACAAAGUUUCCGUAGGUGAACCUGGAAGGAUCAUUAACACGUAUCGUACGUUAAAAACCCCGGUGGACGAGACGUGAGAGGGUGUGGUUAAAAAAUCGUCUUUCCAUUUGAAGCCGGGGAGUUGAACCAGGCCGCUUUAGUUGAAAAAUAAACCCGAACUAACCUGACAAAACCUGUCCGAAAGGACAACGAAACCCGAACAACUGUUAACAAUGGAUAUCUUGGUUCUC
Molecule: unclassified non-coding RNA, 238 nt
Filed under: fungal sp.
Lineage: Eukaryota; Fungi
Description: partial internal transcribed spacer region
Source: RNAcentral